GUGCCAGCCGCCGGGGUACUACCGGCAGCCCGAGUGAUGGCCGAUCUUAUUGGGCCUAAAGCGUCCGUAGCUGGGUCUGAAAGUCCAUCGGGAAAUCCACUCGCUCAACGAGUGGCCGUCCGGCGGAACCUGUGUGGCUUGGGACCGGGAGGCCUGAGGGGUACGAUCGGGGUAGGAGUGAAAUCCUGUAAUCCCGCACGGACCACCGAUGGCGAAAGCACUUCGAGAAAACGGAUCCGACAGUGAGGGACGAAAGCCAGGGUCUCCAACCGGAUUAGAAACCCGAGUAGUCC
Molecule: ribosomal RNA, 293 nt
Filed under: uncultured bacterium
Lineage: Bacteria
Description: partial 16S ribosomal RNA
Rfam family: Archaeal small subunit ribosomal RNA
Source: RNAcentral